AAGAGGAAGCGAAAACCAAUCGCAAUCAGCUUCGACCUGACUUUUGAUCAAAAAUUAUCCCUCUUGA
RNAcentral lists this transfer RNA (67 nucleotides) under Damon diadema. RNAcentral describes it as "tRNA-Arg". The record is from RNAcentral. Lineage: Eukaryota; Metazoa; Arthropoda; Arachnida; Amblypygi; Phrynichidae.